UACGUAGGGGGCAAGCGUUAUCCGGAUUUACUGGGUGUAAAGGGAGCGUAGACGGCAGGGCAAGUCUGGAGAGAAAGGCAGGGGCCCAACCCCUGGACUGCUCUGGAAACUGUCCGGCUGGAGUGCAGGAGAGGUAAGUGGAAUUCCUAGUGUAGCGGUGAAAUGCGUAGAUAUUAGGAGGAACACCAGUGGCGAAGGCGGCUUACUGGACUGUAACUGACGUUGAGGCUCGAAAGCGUGGGGAGCAAACAGG
RNAcentral lists this ribosomal RNA (253 nucleotides) under uncultured bacterium. RNAcentral describes it as "partial 16S ribosomal RNA". It matches the Rfam family "Bacterial small subunit ribosomal RNA", at positions 524 to 776 of the family's 1533-position model. The record is from RNAcentral.